GACGGACGCUGGCGGCGUGCUUAACACAUGCAAGUCGAACGGAAAGGCCCUGCUUUUGUGGGGUGCUCGAGUGGCGAACGGGUGAGUAACACGUGAGUAACCUGCCCUUGACUUUGGGAUAACUUGAGGAAACUGGGGCUAAUACCGGAUAGGAGCUCCUGCUGCAUGGUGGGGGUUGGAAAGUUUCGGCGGUUGGGGAUGGACUCGCGGCUUAUCAGCUUGUUGGUGGGGUAGUGGCUUACCAAGGCUUUGACGGGUAGCCGGCCUGAGAGGGUGACCGGCCACAUUGGGACUGAGAUACGGCCCAGACUCCUACGGGAGGCAGCAGUGGGGAAUAUUGCACAAUGGGCGGAAGCCUGAUGCAGCAACGCCGCGUGCGGGAUGACGGCCUUCGGGUUGUAAACCGCUUUCGCCUGUGACGAAGCGUGAGUGACGGUAAUGGGUAAAGAAGCACCGGCUAACUACGUG
This 468-nucleotide ribosomal RNA is filed under the name uncultured bacterium. Its description in RNAcentral is "partial 16S ribosomal RNA". It matches the Rfam family "Bacterial small subunit ribosomal RNA", at positions 28 to 507 of the family's 1533-position model. The record is from RNAcentral.